This 618-nucleotide ribosomal RNA is filed under the name Toxoplasma gondii. RNAcentral's name for it is "SSU rRNA". It matches the Rfam family "Eukaryotic small subunit ribosomal RNA", at positions 471 to 1098 of the family's 1831-position model. The record is from RNAcentral. Lineage: Eukaryota; Apicomplexa; Conoidasida; Eucoccidiorida; Sarcocystidae.
CAAGAAAUAACAACACUGGAAAUUUCAUUUCUAGUGAUUGGAAUGAUAGGAAUCCAAACCCCUUUCAGAGUAACAAUUGGAGGGCAAGUCUGGUGCCAGCAGCCGCGGUAAUUCCAGCUCCAAUAGCGUAUAUUAAAGUUGUUGCAGUUAAAAAGCUCGUAGUUGGAUUUCUGCUGGAAGCAGCCAGUCCGCCCUCAGGGGUGUGCACUUGGUGAAUUCUAGCAUCCUUCUGGAUUUCUCCACACUUCAUUGUGUGGAGUUUUUUCCAGGACUUUUACUUUGAGAAAAUUAGAGUGUUUCAAGCAGGCUUGUCGCCUUGAAUACUGCAGCAUGGAAUAAUAAGAUAGGAUUUCGGCCCUAUUUUGUUGGUUUCUAGGACUGAAGUAAUGAUUAAUAGGGACGGUUGGGGGCAUUCGUAUUUAACUGUCAGAGGUGAAAUUCUUAGAUUUGUUAAAGACGAACUACUGCGAAAGCAUUUGCCAAAGAUGUUUUCAUUAAUCAAGAACGAAAGUUAGGGGCUCGAAGACGAUCAGAUACCGUCGUAGUCUUAACCAUAAACUAUGCCGACUAGAGAUAGGAAAACGUCAUGCUUGACUUCUCCUGCACCUUAUGAGAAAU